Molecule: long non-coding RNA, 4832 nt
Filed under: Mus caroli (Ryukyu mouse)
Lineage: Eukaryota; Metazoa; Chordata; Mammalia; Rodentia; Muridae
Description: lncRNA (MGP_CAROLIEiJ_G0005593.1)
Source: RNAcentral
GGAAAACCUGCCAGUGAUGGAGAGUUCCUGAAGACAAUUUUGUUGCUGGACUGAUUAACUCAGCGAACAGACUGUCUGUGGGAACUCUGUCUCUGGGAAUCUGAUGGUCAGGUGGCCGGGAUGACUGGGCAAGUAUGGAGACUUUGGUGGGUGGGGUUUCCUCUGUUGAGUUUCUUUCAGAUUGCUGCAGAAAGCCCUCAGCAUUGGGACACAGAGAAGAGAGGUUUGGAUGCUCUGGGAGGACCUUUCACUGUCUCAAACUGUCUCUUAACAGCAGCCUUUCAGUUCUGCCUCACUCACGGUUUCUCUGGGUAAGUCAUCACUCCUUUGAGAUGUGGCAUCAUCAGUGUGUGCGGGAUAUGCCUAAGGAAAUUGUUCCCCCCUGAGGUCACUGACAGACAGGACGCACAGGAUCAGGAUCUUGAGCUCAGGGCCUCAAGACUGAAUGGAGGUUGCCUAAGGCUUGUGAUAAUAGUCUCACUGUGUCUGAUGGUUGGAAAAUGGCUUACCUCUGGCCAUCAUUUUCAAUACCUCAGAAACCUGUUUCCCACCCACAGAGACAGGAUAAGAAAACACUACAGAGAUGCCCAGGGAUGACCCAGAAAAUUGUUGCGAAUGCAUCUCCCCAUCUCUUUAGUGGCAGCAACUUCUGUCUUUGUCUCUUUAGCUUCUUUAGUCACCUCGCUACCUUCUACUUGGAAAAAUGACCCUAUGUGCAUUGCUGUGAUUCUGACUACUGUUUUCUUAGGAGCCAGCUUCCACUAUUUCCUCAAGUGGACAACAAACUGAAACUGUAGGCAACAGGUUUUUAGCCCAGUACACAGGCUUCUGGAACUCUCUUUCAUUUUUUUGAGAGCAAAGGCUGUAGGAGGCUAUGAGCUAGAAUUAUAUCGCUCAGCUGAGGUAAGAAAACUGGGCCAUGCAGAUGCCCAGUCCAUCCGGUCUGUUUAUAGCAUAUGUACAUGCAUACAUACACGUAUGCAUAUAUACUUACACACAUAUGGGAUAGAUAGGUACAUAUAAACAGAUGAUAGACAGUAGACAGAUGAUGGGUGGGAGGUGCAUGAUGCAUGGCAAUGCAGACAGAUUAACGUGAAUGCCCUGUGUUUAUACUCUCACCACCUGAAUAGGUAACUCUGGCCAGUCCACUCCUAGUGUUUAACUCUCCAAAGUUCUACUAGUUCCAAAGCCCAGAGUUUGUCCCACAGAAUACAGAACUUGACAGUGCUGUAGGAGUCAAGAAUGAGCCACAAACAACGCCUGCUCAGCAAGCAGCAAAUGCUUGCAAGUGGUUACGGACUCCACAGUAUUUGACAUUACUUUGUUAGGGUUCCCUGUCCUUGUAUUGUCACAGCAAUACGAGAAAACGUGUAUUGAUCAUGCACGUGGCUCUCUCUUUUAUCAAUGAACUUUGACUACAACUUCAAAGUUGUACUUUCUGGGUAAAGACUGCAAAUGAAUUUCUCACUGCCUGGUGUUGGCUGUGGAGCAGGUCUGAUGUCACCCAGGGCUUAUGACACCCUAAAGUACCUGGUCCUUACUUGGCACAAAGCACAUACAUAUAUCAUUGAGCUUGUUUGCAUAUUUUCACAAUGACCAAGCUGGACUAUUUUUUUUUUUAAGUUUUCUGUGUAUGGGUGUGGACAUACAUGUGUGUGUGUUUUAUGAACAUGUGUGUGGAGGCAGAGGUUGUUGUCUAGUGUCUUCCUCAAUCGUCAUCUAUCUUACUUUUGAGAUAAGGCCUAUUCACUGAAAUUGGAACUCAAGGAUUUGCUGGCCAGUCAGCUCCAGAGAUUCCUGCCCCCCAUUCAAGGAUCUGGCAUGCACCCCCAAACCUGGCUUUUUACACAACAUUAGAAGGCCUAAUUCAAGUCAGAAAGCACUUUAUUGACCGAGUCAUCUUCCCACACCUAAGUCCUAUCCUUUGUGUCUUGAGUAGUCUAAUCAGUGUGAAGUUAAACUGUUAAUUCACAAAAGUAUGUUUAUCUCUGGAGCAACACUUCAUUUUCCCCUGCUAUAGUGGUAUCAACCGGGAGAAAGACUGUAAAAGACAAAUGUGAUAUUUCUUCCUGCAAAGGGUUUUGUUUUGACAGCAGCUGAUGAGCUUUGAGGAACAAGUUCACACUCUUCAGCUCUGUGUCUUAAGCAUCACCACCACUGUCCAUCAUCUCCCUGUUGCUAUGGUAACACAACCCCAGCAGAAGCAGCUUAAUGGGGACUUUAUUUUGGCGCACAGUUUCAGAAGGACAAAGCCCAGUGCAUGGAAGACAUGGGGGCAGGAGCAAGAGACCAGCCAAUCAUAUUGCAUCUACACUCUGGAUGUGGGGCCAGACACAGAGCUUCAAAGCCUCACCCCCAACACUAGUGGCUUACGUCCUUUUCUGUAGGCUUUUCCCCUCUAAAGGCUCCACAAUCUUCCAAACAGCUCCACCAAGUGGAGAAGGAGUGUUCAAACAUGCAAGUCUCUGGGGGACAUUUCACUUCCAAACCACAGUAGUCAAUAAGGGGCACCAUUUCCCAUGCAGUGCUGCCUUCCUGCUGACACUCAGCAUCAAAACAUACACAUGGCGGGCCCUUCCUCAUUGUGUACCCUCAGCACGACAUCCGAGCCAUGCAAGCAGCUAAGUCUCUCCGAAGUCACAAGGGGCCAGAGGAUGUAAUCCACUCUCCCAGUGCCUCUUGUGACCCAAUGGCCACUGCUUUAGGAGGUAAGCUACCUGUAAUUUUCUUUUAGAAUUAAAAUAGUAGAUUUCGCUUCCUCUCCAUGCCAGGUAGCUGUUAUUUUCACGUUUUAGCAAGGUUUAAGAAAAACACCUGAAAGCCUUAUAGAUUUUCCACUGUUACCCACUCCCUGUGUCCCUUAAAUAAAGAAGCCCAUAAUUGAUUAAUGAAAAGCCAAGUCAUUUUGGUAUUAAUACAAUCCCCUGGGUGGGCCUCUAAUCACACCUGGCAGGCCCGUAACAGCAUCUCUCUGUUACACGUCCAGGUUAAAAACCUGCAAAUCAACACAGCCCACAAGGAGAUUUUCAGCAUUUCCAAUCUGAUAAUCCAUGAUAAAUGCCUGCCAGAGGUUGGUCAGAGCCCAGGCCCUUUAGGAUUUUAAGCCUCUCUGCUUGUUAAAAAUGUUUAUACCUGAGUAUUCAAAGUUGGUACCCAUUUACAUGAAUAUGCCUAACACGUGAGUGUUGCAAAUGCAGAAUUAAAAUACCACAUUAUCUCAUUUCUCCAUGAAAACAUAGUUGGAUAUUUGGCAGGGUCCUUCAGGUGGCUCUGCAUGAACCUCAGACACGCCACCUAUGAUGAGCAGAGCCAUUUCUGUGACUGAGUACGUCAGUCCAUGCAGCCUUUGUGUGAGCAGGUGGACCAGUGUGGGAGUCCACUCUCACUCCUCCUCCCUAGGGCCCAAAGCAUAUCCAGUCACAGGCAACACAAAAAUGUAAAUAUUAAUCUCAGGCUGGUGAGAGGGCUCAGUGGUUAGUGGUGCUUGCUGCCAAGCCUGAAGACCCAACCUUGAUCCCUGGACCUUCAUGGUAAAAGGAGAAAAUUGACUCUGGCAAGAUGUCCUCUGACACCCCCAUGCACACCACAGCACACACACACACACACACACACACACACCCCAACACUGAGUAAACAAAAGCAACAAAAAUGUUGUUGCUUUUGGAAAACAAGGGUGUCAUGGAAGAACAGCAGGCUACUUAACUCUGCACCUUUAGAAGGAAUCUUCCAGAAGGCACUACUCAGUGUGAGUUCUUAUAGUGGUUGAUCUUGACUGUCAACCUGGCAGGAUUUAGAGUCACCAUGGAAACAAAUACAGGCCAUGUGAUGGGGUUUCUGGAUUAGGUUAACUGGGUUGGUCUUAAUUGUGAAGGUCUUCCACCUAACCUGUAUGUGAGCAAUACCACCCCGUGGUCUGGAUAAGCAAACCAAGCAACAGCAACUACAUCUCUGCUUCCUGACUGGAUGCCAUGUGACCAGCUGCUCAAGCUCCUGCAGCUGUGACCGUAGCCUGAACUGGGGACCCAAAUCAGCUUUAAUUGCAUUAAUUGCUUUCAUCAGGUUCUUUUUCAUGGCAGGACAAGUGACUACUACAACUUCCCCUCUUCCACCUUACCCCCUGCUCUGUCUACACCUAGCUCUUUUGUUAAUGUUGGUUGCGAUGUCCCGUGUGUCUGUGGAGAGCAACUCAACUAGCUCAUGGGUGUCAGGCUCACAUUCAAAGAAAGCUCAACCUUCGUAACAACACAAGCUGUAAUGCCAGCACCAGGGGAUGGAGGCAAGAAGACAAGGCAAGCUUCAGGCCAGCCUGGGCUACCAAAACCAAAAACCAAAAAACCUAACCCAAUUCGUAAAAUCAAAUCAGAUUCAAUGAAGUUACUUAGCAUAUCCAGUACCGGCCUCACCCACCAGCACCACAGGCACCCUUGCUAAGUGUCUGAGCUGACCAGUGCUAAUCACACUGAGCCUUACAGUCUCCACCCAUCUUUAUCCUAAAUGGCAAGUCUGACCCACUCAGCCGCAGGUUUUCAUUCUCACCCCUUCCCUGAUAACCUUGACUCUCCUCCCACUCUCUGUGACUCGUCUGUCCUACCUACCUCAUGGGAGUGGAAUCAUACAGGGUUUCUUCCUUUGCAGUUGGCUUAUUUUACUGAGCAAAGUGAUUUUAAAGAUUCACCCAUAGAGUACCAGGUGUCAGAAUGCUACUCCUCUUAUGGCUAAAUAAUAUUCCACUGCAUCUCACGCUCUGUGCAUUCACUCAUCCGUCGGUGGAUACUUGGGUUAUGUGGUAUUGACUACUGUGCCUUUCAAUUAAAGAAAAAAACAAUCUGUUU